UAGGUUUGAAUUUUCGGUAAGUAAUUUCAAAAACUCAGGCUUGACGAAGUUACAGUAAGUCAUGCUUUCAAAAAUGAAUAACUUUGCAGGAAUGGAAUUUCCGUCUGUAUCUGUGAAGAAGGAGGACUAGUGGCGAGAGGUUCGAACAAUUUCUCCUAAAAUUUUUAUAGAUUUGUAAAAUUGUUGCCACAAUCUAUAAUUUAUAUGAAGUUUUAUGAGAAUUUAGGGUUUGAUCAUCAAAUUGAUUAGUUAAUUUCCCUCCAAAUUGAUGCAGUUUUUUGAUCCAAAAGUUGAUAUUUUAUGUACUGAUAAGCUAUUUUAGGGUUUUUAUUACUACAUCAAAACCCUAAAUUUCUCAAAUGAUAAUAUUAGUCUGUUAUUUACUUUUCUGCUGAACUACUGUGUCAGAGUUUAAAAUUCCACCUAAGGUUAUCGCANGAUAAUAUUAGUCUGUUAUUUACUUUUCUGCUGAACUACUGUGUCAGAGUUUAAAAUUCCACCUAAGGUUAUCGCAUCAGAUAUUUAGGUUUGAAUUUUCGGUAAGUAAUUUCAAAAUCUCAGGCUUGACGAAGUUACAGUAAGUCAUGGUUUCAAAAACGAAUGACUUUGUAGGAAUGGAAUUUCCAUCUGUAUCUGUGAAGAAGGAGGACUGGUGGCAAGAGGUUCGAACAAUUUCUCCUUAAAUUUUAAUAAAUUUGUAAACUUGUUGGCACAAUCUAUACUUUAUAUGAAGUUUUAUGAGAAUUUAGGGUUUGAUCAUCAAAUUGAUUAGUUAAUUUCCCUCCAAAUUGAUGCAGUUUAUUGAUCCAAAAGCUGAUAUUUUAUGUACUGGUAAGCUUUUUUAGGGUUUUAAUUACUGCUUCAAAACCCUAAAUUUCUCAAUUGAUAAUAUUAGUCUGUUAUUUACUUUUCUGCUGAACUACUGUGUCAGAGUUUAAAAGUCCACCUAAGGUUAUCGCAACAGAUAUUUAGGUUUGAAUUUUCGGUAAGUAAUUUCAGUAACUCAGGCUUGACAAAGUUACAGUAAGUCAUGGUUUCAAGAAUGAAUAACUUUGCAGGAAUGGAAUUUCCAUCUGUAUCUGUGAAGAAGGAAGACUGGUGGCGAGAGGUUCGAACAAUUUCUCCUUAAAUUUUUAUAAAUUUGUAAANNN
RNAcentral lists this long non-coding RNA (1151 nucleotides) under Vigna radiata. Its description in RNAcentral is "long non-coding RNA (VRAD_LNC008467)". The record is from RNAcentral. Lineage: Eukaryota; Viridiplantae; Streptophyta; Magnoliopsida; Fabales; Fabaceae.